CAAAGGUUUGGUCCUGGCCUUACUGUUAAUUGUAGUUAGACCUACACAUGCAAGUUUCCGCUGCCCGGUGAAAAUGCCCUCAAAAUUUAAAACUAAAUCAACAGGAGCGGGUAUCAGGCACACUCAUAAGUAGCCCACAACGCCUUGCUUUACCACACCCCCACGGGAUACAGCAGUGACUAAUAUUAAGCUAUAAACGAAAGUUUGACUAAAUCAUAACUAACUAGGGUUGGUAAAUCUCGUGCCAGCCACCGCGGUCAUACGAUUAACCCAAAUUAACAGACGAACGGCGUAAAGGGUGUUUAAGCUAAAACACAUACACAAUAAAGCUAAGAGUGGGAUUAGAUACCCCACUAUGCUUAGCCUUAAACCAAGGUAAUUAAAUAACAAAACUACUCGCCAGAGAACUACUAGCCAAUGCUUAAAACUCAAAGGACUUGGCGGUGCCCUAAACCCACCUAGAGGAGCCUGUUCUAUAAUCGAUAAACCCCGAUAAACCCCACCUUUUCUUGCCAAUUCAGCCUAUAUACCGCCAUCGUCAGCUAACCCCAGCAGGGAUAAAAAGUAAGCAAGAUCAUUAACCAUAAAAACGUUAGGUCAAGGUGUAGCAUAUGAAAAGGAAAGUAAUGGGCUACAUUUUCUAAAUUAGAACACAACGAAUUAUCUCAUGAAACCUGAGCAAUAUGAAGGAGGAUUUAGUAGUAAAUUAAGAAUAGAGAGCUUAAUUGAAAUAGGCAAUAGGGCGCGCACACACCGCCCGUCACCCUCCUCGACAAAACCUUACAAAUAACUAAUAAAAUAAAAUACAAAAGAGGAGAAAAGUCGUAACAUGGUAAGUGUACUGGAAGGUGCACUUGGAACAUC
RNAcentral lists this non-coding RNA (864 nucleotides) under Macropus cf. giganteus TL-2021. Its description in RNAcentral is "12S ribosomal RNA". It matches the Rfam family "Bacterial small subunit ribosomal RNA". The record is from RNAcentral. Lineage: Eukaryota; Metazoa; Chordata; Mammalia; Diprotodontia; Macropodidae.